UAAUACGUAGGGUGCGAGCGUUAAUCGGAAUUACUGGGCGUAAAGCGUGCGCAGGCGGUUGGGAAAGAUCGAUGUGAAAUCCCCGGGCUCAACCUGGGAAUGGCAUGGAUGACUAUCCGACUGGAGUACGGUAGAGGGGAGUGGAAUUCCGCGUGUAGCAGUGAAAUGCGUAGAUAUGCGGAGGAACACCGAUGGCGAAGGCAGCUCCCUGGACCUGUACUGACGCUCAUGCACGAAAGCGUGGGGAGCAAACAGGA
This 257-nucleotide ribosomal RNA is filed under the name uncultured archaeon. RNAcentral describes it as "partial 16S ribosomal RNA". It matches the Rfam family "Bacterial small subunit ribosomal RNA", at positions 521 to 777 of the family's 1533-position model. The record is from RNAcentral.